This 253-nucleotide ribosomal RNA is filed under the name uncultured bacterium. RNAcentral describes it as "partial 16S ribosomal RNA". It matches the Rfam family "Bacterial small subunit ribosomal RNA", at positions 524 to 776 of the family's 1533-position model. The record is from RNAcentral.
GACGAACCGUGCAAACGUUGUUCGGAAUCACUGGGCUUAAAGGGCGCGUAGGCGGGCGAAUAAGUCAGGGGUGAAAUCUUUCGGCUCAACCGGAAAAGUGCCCCUGAUACUGUUCGUCUCGAGGGAGGUAGGGGUAUGUGGAACUUCUGGUGGAGCGGUGAAAUGCGUUGAUAUCAGAAGGAACGCCGGUGGCGAAAGCGACGUACUGGACCUCUUCUGACGCUGAGGCGCGAAAGCUAGGGGAGCGAACGGG